Sphaerodactylus townsendi is the source of this 393-nucleotide long non-coding RNA. RefSeq lists it as uncharacterized. The transcript has 3 exons. NCBI's taxonomy places the organism in Eukaryota, Metazoa, Chordata, Lepidosauria, Squamata, Sphaerodactylidae. The record is from RefSeq and is a predicted model, not a curated record.
AGGUGGUUGUGUUGAAGUGUGUGGAGUGCAGUGAGAGAGUUUUGAAAGGAUGGAGGAGGCUACAUGGUGUGUGAAGUGUGUCUGUGAGGGAGGGCAGAGAAGGUGUGUGUGAGAUGAGGUGGUGCUGUGUUGAAGUGUGUGAGUGCAGUGAAGAGUUGUCACGAAGGAUGGGAGGAGGCUAUGGCUGUGUGAGAGAUGUGGGUGUGAGGAGGACAGAGGAGGUGUGUGAGAUAGAGGUGGUUGUGUUGAAGUGUGAGGUGCAGUGAGAGAGGUUGUAGAAGGAUGGAGGAGGCUAUGGCUGUGAAGUGUGGCUGUGAGAGACAGAGAGGAGUGUGUGAGAUGAGGGUGGUUUGUGUUGAGAGGUGUGUGAGGGUGCAGUGCUGAGAGUUGUGA